AACGAACGCUGGCGGCGUGCUUAACACAUGCAAGUCGAACGUGAUCCAGAGCUUGCUCUGGUGAAAGUGGCGCACGGGUGAGUAGCGCGUGGAUAACCUGCCCUGGUAUCUGGGAUAACAUCUCGAAAGGGGUGCUAAUACCGGAUAAGCCCACGGAAUCUUCGGGUUCUGAGGGAAAAGGUGACCUCUGUCUCAAGCUACCGUAUCAGGAUGGGUCCGCGUACCAUUAGCUAGUUGGUAGGGUAAUGGCCUACCAAGGCGACGAUGGUUAGCUUGUCUGAAGGGAGGGUCAGCCACACUGGAACUGGGACACGGUCCAGACUCCUACGGUGUGCAGCAGUGGGGAAUUUUGCGCAAUGGGGGAAACCCUGACGCAGCAACGCCGCGUGAGUGAUGAAGGCCUUCGGGUCGUAAAGCUCUGUCAGAGGGGAAGAAGUGAUGUGUGGUUAAUACCCACACUUCUUGACGGUACCCUCAAAGGAAGCACCGGCUAACUCCGUGCCAGCCGCCGCCGUAA
RNAcentral lists this ribosomal RNA (517 nucleotides) under uncultured bacterium. RNAcentral's name for it is "partial 16S ribosomal RNA". It matches the Rfam family "Bacterial small subunit ribosomal RNA", at positions 29 to 523 of the family's 1533-position model. The record is from RNAcentral.